This is a long non-coding RNA of Ipomoea nil (Japanese morning glory), 184 nucleotides long. RefSeq lists it as uncharacterized. The transcript is spliced from 3 exons. NCBI's taxonomy places the organism in Eukaryota, Viridiplantae, Streptophyta, Magnoliopsida, Solanales, Convolvulaceae. The record is from RefSeq and is a predicted model, not a curated record.
GUAAGUUUCUUGAAGGUGUUUUACAUUGGCUGGUCUAAUUGAGUUGCAGAGUUUAGAAACAUGAUAGACAGUUUGAUAACCAACUAGUGUGAAGGUUUUAGUAAUCAGACUCAAGCAAAGAAGGUGAUGUUCUUGAGGUUGCUGUUUCUGAUUUGGCUUCGAUCUGCCGGACACCCUCAAUCAU